This 246-nucleotide RNase P RNA is filed under the name Burkholderiaceae bacterium. RNAcentral's name for it is "partial RNase P RNA component class A". It matches the Rfam family "Bacterial RNase P class A", at positions 1 to 290 of the family's 367-position model. Rfam says of the family: Ribonuclease P (RNase P) is a ubiquitous endoribonuclease, found in archaea, bacteria and eukarya as well as chloroplasts and mitochondria. Its best characterised activity is the generation of mature 5'-ends of tRNAs by cleaving the 5'-leader elements of precursor-tRNAs. The record is from RNAcentral. Lineage: Bacteria; Pseudomonadati; Pseudomonadota; Betaproteobacteria; Burkholderiales; Burkholderiaceae.
GAAGCAGGCUAGACAAUCGCUGGCUUUGGUGUGAGCCAAAGCGGGAGGAAGGUCCGGACUCCAUAGAGCAGGGUGACGGCUAACGGCCGUACGUUGAAAGCCGCAAGGUAUAAGACGAGGAAUAGGGCCACAGAGACGAGCGUAUUUAGUUACGGUGAAACGCGGUAACCUCCACCCGGAGCAAUUUCAAAUAGGCACGCGUUGAGGCGGCUCGCGGAGCGUGCGGGUAGAAAGCUUGAGCCUGGG